Molecule: long non-coding RNA, 3791 nt
Filed under: Equus caballus (horse)
Lineage: Eukaryota; Metazoa; Chordata; Mammalia; Perissodactyla; Equidae
Description: lncRNA (ENSECAG00000054405.1)
Source: RNAcentral
AGAUACGGUACAAUCGGGGUAACUGGAACAUUCACAGCAGGAGGUCUUACAGAGCAGUAAAAACAGAAAAGAAACAAGACAAAAUAAAGCAAAACGCCCAAACGUCAAAACCAAGGACAGGCCCACUGCCAAGCUCUCAGUGCAAAGAAGAGGAUUGCGGGUUAGCGUGGGUCCAAAUGGAGCUUCACCGGAAACAAAAGCUCUUCUAGGACCUUGUCCACAGUAUCUAGACAUUGGUGAAGGACACAGGAUCUGUUCAACACGGUCCUGAUCAGGGCGAGGCUGCAUUACGGCAUUCUGGACGCUACGAGAGCACAGAUCAAGAAAGAACACUUCUUCUUUCUUCUGUUUGAUUUAGGACACAGACUCAGUACAAUAAACCCAUCACAAUAGUGGUGGAAACGAGACGAAGCCAAUCUCUCCGGUUCCAUCCAGGCAGGCCUGGGGACUGUCAAAGGCAAGGAAGGAGUUUCCCUCCUGGACGCCUACUUGGGGGUGGACGACCUGCUGACAGCACAGAGCCUCAGCCCAGCGCAGGGAGGCGCUCCUCAAAUGCUUCUGGAAGAAUUCCACAAGCCGACAGGAGAUGGGGGAAGCCUCUGCCCAGCUGCCUCCCUGGCCCCGCCCUGACAGCCGUAAACAACAGCCUAAACAGACCAUGAACGGCAUCCUCAUAACUCCAAAUCCCGGAUGACUGAACUGGCUCUAGGUAAUGUUCGAGAAAGACUGAGGAAACCCCGGCCGUGGUGAGACUGUCGAUGCAGGAAUGGUCAGGAGUUGGAGGAAGAGAACGUGCCAUGGAGAGCUGUCCUCCUUGCCUGGAAUGAUGAGGGACACACAACACAUCCAGGAGACACCGACAGUUUUCUUUGACUACAUUACACAGAAUACGGGAGAAGAUUUACUCAAAAUACACUUCGCUUGGCAGACACAAAAACUGUAAGAAAUGUACCAUCCACUUCAGAGUGCCCGCCUGUGCUGAGUGCUUUUUGUUGUUGCAACAUGACAGGUGUUUUUGUAGGUCUGGUAAGUGGACUAAGGUCAGCAUGUCAUGGGGUUAAAGGAAACCCAAAUACAGCCAAUAUACACCUUAACCACUAACCAGUUGUCUUUCUGUGAUACCAGGUGAAGGCCAAAUUCAGACAUUCCGGCUUCAGAGCCUGUAAUGCAUAUACAGAGGCAAUCAGAAGGUGUUCCCGUGGAAUGCUUUUAAAAUGAUCCCAGGGCUUAGAAAGUCUCGCUGUGCCUGAAUCUCUUUUCUGGAACCUUCUCAAUGAUGUCUUAGACCCUCUCUUCUGUCACUACCUUUCCCAUCUCUCCCUUGAUAUCUCAAGACACUCAGAGAAGUGGCUAAGCAGUUUUUGGUGCAAACCUGAACUCUGAUUUCAUGAGAUUUGUAAAUAAAGGUGCAUUUGCCAACUUUGGUGAAAUCACUUAAAGACUGUUUCUGACGGCCUCAGUCUACUAAAGACCACGUUUCAAGAGUAAAACGGGGUAGAGAGUCCGGGGAGCUCCAAGACACGGCCUUUGCAAUAGUACUGCGAUCAGAGAGUCUUCUAACCGUGUGUAUCUGCUGGCGGGGGGUGGGAGGGGGUCCCUUUCCUGGGCAGGCAAUGAUAACUGUCAAGCCAGUGUGGAACGGAGAUGAUGCUCAGGAUCCUAAAAAGCUGGCAGCACAAACAUCACAGGAACUGUGUUCUCUGGACUACUCCACAGGGGCUUCCCAAACCACUUUCUGAGCUCCUGCAUGCUUGCCUAUUUCCUAAUUUUUCAGUUUCUAAACUAAACCUACUUGGCCCUUGUAAAGAUGAGGUUAGCAUCAGAAGAAGGUAGUUAAUAAGAUGAAGCCAUUUUCAUGAAGAUCCUCUAGAAUCUUGCACUAGUUGCAAGUCUAUGCUCAACAGACGGGGAAACUGAGGACCAGAGAUGUUCAGUGCCCUCCAUUCUCCCCAGCAAGAUCUGGGUCUCUGUUGGCUGGUGGUGGAGCUUGGCCUAGGACCCUUCCAUCUUCUCUCUGGGUGUCACAUGAUCCCUGGCUGCUGGGUUUGGCUUCCAAGGCAGCAGGGUUGAAGGCGAGCUGGGUGCUGUAAGACCCAUUACUUGGGGUGUAAUGUGGUACAGGAUUUACAGUUUAGAGCAGCUGAGUUUUUUUCCUACUGAGAGGACCCAGCGAUAAUAAAAGGAUUCAGGAGCAUUCUGGAUGGAUUCCAAAGAGCUGUGAGGAAAUUUUAGACAGAAAGGGAGUUAGAGAUAUCGGAGCAAGUGGGACUGUCCCCUAGGCUCUCUCUUUGCACGUACUCGCGUUUUCCUUCCACUGUGGAUGAAACGGGAGGCUGGUUGCAUGUCCUGUGCCAGUUGCCAUUCGGAUAGAACUGAGAGUUUCUGUUUACUCGCACGGCUGUGUCUUACUCCAGCCAACCCAGGACAAGCCAGACAGGCCACACCACAUAUUUGGGAACAACCUGAGCUCUCUCGUAGGGAAUCAGGGUGAUGGGAGCAACAUGGGGGAGGCAGAGAAAACUGCACGGAAGGUGGAAGAGGUGGUGACCAAGAAGGUUUGUGACCACAGACUGUCCAGGAAAUUAGAAUAGACCCCUCUUGGGCCACCUGGGGGGCUCGGAUUAGGUGACAAGAAGGCCAAGAAAAGCCCUUCUGGAGAGGCACGCUGGCAGGUCUCAGGAGGUGGGGUUCUGCUGGUUCCUCCUAUUCUGACCCAACUCAGCGUGCGAGCAAAAUUCCGUGUACACUGCGCUCUGCAGCUUGGGAGAUAUUUUAUGCAUUUAGAGCCACAACAGACAUUUCUCAAAGUAAGGUGGCCCAGGGAGCAAAGUUAACCAUCAUGGAAGGCUCAAGAGCGGCCUCCGUGCCCAUUUCUAUCUUCUGUUGAAUGGCUUGACGGGGACACACAUCCCACGUCUGCGGUUAUCACUGCGCGUGCUACGUUCAACUAGAAAAACCUGCUCAGGUCCCCAGAUAGGUCUUUUUUAACAAGAUAAAUCAAGGGGUAGGUAGGUGGGGAACAAAUACCUAUGGAAGAGGAGUAACAGAAGGGUACCUUCUUGGGUUGUCUGACUGCCAUCUUUGUCCUCCAAUAAAUCACAGGAGGGGGCAGGCGGGGCAGGGCAGGGGAGGAGGGCAGGUUCUGUUUCUUCCCUGCUUUGCUGAUAUCAGUCUCAUAGAUCUCAUCUAGUUUUUAUUGAGUUUCCUUCUUCCUGCCACCUUUGUAGCUUUUGGCUUGAACUUUCCUGAUGUUCUGGCUCUGAGCCUGUGUCCCCAGGGAAGCACCUUCUUCCUGCCAGCCCCCCACCCCAGGCUGCCCCCUCUACAGACUCGAACUACUUUAAGGGGGAGGUGAUUAAUAGCUUAUGUUAAUGAAAGCAGCUUUUCAGGGAAUCUGAACCCUGCAGUCUGGAGCUCCAGGAGGAUCACUGCGGGGUGGGGUGGGGGGAGCAGGGAGGCAGAGUGGCCUCUGGGGUUAAGACAUCUUUGGAUGUAAUGACUACUGCAAACAAAGGCAGUCCCCUCCCCGAGGCCCCAGGGCUGUGGCCUGCUGGAAAUGCCUAUAAUAAGUAAUGAAGAUAACCCUCUAACAGGACAGAGAGUAAAAAAGGAAUGUUUUGAUAUGGGAUUUAUUCCUGGCUGCUGGUCAUCACUGCAAGUCUACAAGGAGGCUGCCAAUUUCAAAGAAGAUGAGUAAAAAGGACAAGCUUGGAGGAGGGGCAGGCCCGAGGGGUGAGAAGGUCACGGAGCUGCCAGCCCGUGGGAAUGUCCUGCUGACCUCUCUCUUCCAG